RNAcentral lists this ribosomal RNA (253 nucleotides) under uncultured bacterium. RNAcentral describes it as "partial 16S ribosomal RNA". It matches the Rfam family "Bacterial small subunit ribosomal RNA", at positions 524 to 776 of the family's 1533-position model. The record is from RNAcentral.
UACGAAGGGGGCUAGCGUUGCUCGGAAUCACUGGGCGUAAAGCGCACGUAGGCGGCUUUUUAAGUCAGACGUGAAAUCCCCAGGCUCAACCUGGGAACUGCGUCUGAUACUGGAUGGCUUGAAUCCGGGAGAGGGAUGCAGAAUUCCAGGUGUAGCGGUGAAAUGCGUAGAUAUCUGGAGGAAUACCGGUGGCGAAGGCGGCAUCCUGGACCGGCAUUGACGCUGAGGAGCGAAAGCCAGGGGAGCAAACGGG